GCGUGCGCGUGAGACUGCCUGUGGGAACAGGGGUUAGCGAGAGGCUCUGGUGGCCCGGCCAAGCAGCUCCACCUGCGGUCAGCUAGCUCCCGCCUCGAGAGGCUUGCUACGGCCCCGCAGCUCUUGCUCUGCGCCCUCCCGCCCAUCUGGGAUGGAAGAAAACUGUCAGACAUUUACAGGAUGACCCUGUCAGUAUGCACAGCUCACACACAGAUGAACCCCAUAGAAAGCCAAGUAUGAGUCAAGCAAGACAGCUGGUGUAUCUUCGAUGAUACUCUUGCCCAUUUUUACCACCACCUGCCCUUGUUCCGGUGUGGAUUCCAGUCGUUCACGGACCACGGGUUACCCUUCUCGGUAGCCUCCAGUGCUCGGCACCAAACAUGAUGCCCCGAGGUGUGUAUGCUGAAGGAGCCCAAACUGUGGGUUUAGCAGUUUCUGGACUAUAAGGAUUCUUUGUGAAUGUGUGGAUGUCUUCAUUGAUUUUUAAGACUCCUUUAUGCUGAACCGGUAUGAUGGUGCAUACAUUUAAUCCCAACACUCAGGAGGCAGAGUCCAGAGGAUCUCUGAGUUCAAGCGAAGCUUGGUCUACAUAGUGAGUUCCAGGACAUAUAGAGCUACAUGAAAGAGAGACCCUGCCUUAAGACAGAACAAAACAAAACAACAAACAAAAACAAAAGCAGAAAGGAAUUCACAGACUCAACGAAAAAUUAGACAAUUCAGAAAUGAGGAAAGAGAAAGCACAAGGCCUUCCUCGACACAGCACACCCAAGUCGCUCAGUCCAGACCUCUGCCUUACCCUCAAGUGAAGUCACCUGCUCUUAAGUUUUCCCCUUUCUACUCAUCACAAACCUCAAAUCUGAGAACGCUUAAUCCAAGCUCGUCCUUUUCAUUUGAGAAUCUCUUAAAUGCAUAUAGUAUGUUUUGAUCGAAUCCACUGCUGUCACCUCCUACGAUCUCCCAUCCCUCUCCUCUAACUCUGCCCCAUCUCUCCCACCACUUUCCUUUCCCAACUUCAUGUGCUUUCUUUUUCUUUUUCUUUUUCUUUCUUUCUUUCUUUCUUUUUUUUUUUUUUUUUGAAACCCACUGAGUCCACUUAAUCCUGCUAGCAUGCACAUGAAUGUAGGGCCAUCUACUGGAGCACAAGUAUCCUAUCAGGGCCAGAAACCCUGAAGGAAAUGGCCCCUCCCACAGUGGCCAUCAAUUGCCAACCCUCAACUAGGGAUGGAACUUUGUGAUCUCCUCCCGAUCCAUGUUGAGAAAUUGACUGGCUAGGUCUUGCUCAUGUAGUCAUAGCUGCUAUGAAUUCAUGUAUGCAUUGGCCCUGCGAGGUCAAAAAAAAAAAAAAA
Molecule: non-coding RNA, 1346 nt
Organism: Cricetulus griseus (Chinese hamster)
Lineage: Eukaryota; Metazoa; Chordata; Mammalia; Rodentia; Cricetidae
Source: RefSeq, a predicted model, not a curated record